UGCCAGCCGCCGCGGUAAUACGUAGGUGGCAAGCGUUAUUCGGAUUUAUUGGGCGUAAAGGGUCCGUAGGGGGCAUAGUAAGUUCGGUGUGAAAGCCCAAGGCUUAACCUUGGAAUUGCAUCGAAAACUACUAAGCUAGAGCAUAGGAGAGGAGAGUGGAAUUCCUGGUGUAGCGGUGGAAUGCGUAGAUAUCAGGAGGAACACCGAUGGCGAAGGCAGCUCUCUGGACUAUUGCUGACCCUGAGGGAUGAAAGCUAGGGGAGCGAACAGGAUUAGAUA
Molecule: ribosomal RNA, 279 nt
Filed under: uncultured bacterium
Lineage: Bacteria
Description: partial 16S ribosomal RNA
Rfam family: Bacterial small subunit ribosomal RNA
Source: RNAcentral